UAAACAUACGGUUGUUUAAAAUUUUGAGUAUUGGAGCAAAAGUAAAAUUUCUUGUUUUAAAUUUUCAUAUUUUUUUUGUAUAUAUACUUCGAGAUUGGUUGGGUGACAUUUAAAAAUCUCAUUUCAUCCAGGUUUAUUUCCAGAUUGGACUCAGUGGCUACCUACCUUAUUUACGAUUUAAUCCAAGAAACGUGUUAUACCGUAACUCAACAAUGAAUACUUUUGUCAUUAUUGGUCUCGUCCUUUCCAUCGUUUUUGCGAUUCUUCUCCUCUUCCAGUAUUGCAAGGAACGUCGCAAGAUGAGCUACGAUUU
Folsomia candida is the source of this 313-nucleotide long non-coding RNA. RefSeq lists it as uncharacterized. The record is from RefSeq and is a predicted model, not a curated record. NCBI's taxonomy places the organism in Eukaryota, Metazoa, Arthropoda, Collembola, Entomobryomorpha, Isotomidae. The transcript is spliced from 3 exons.